UGCCCAGCAACUCCUAUCCCUACCUCCUCGUGGUACUGGCCGGGGUACGAGUAACCUCAGAGAAGAUCGGGUAACCCACCCCGUUGGGAGCUUUUGACGUAUGCUGACAGGGAAGG
Molecule: ribozyme, 116 nt
Filed under: Aedes aegypti (yellow fever mosquito)
Lineage: Eukaryota; Metazoa; Arthropoda; Insecta; Diptera; Culicidae
Description: drz-agam-1 ribozyme
Rfam family: drz-agam-1 ribozyme
Source: Rfam by way of RNAcentral